Molecule: ribosomal RNA, 320 nt
Filed under: uncultured eukaryote
Lineage: Eukaryota
Description: partial 18S ribosomal RNA
Rfam family: Eukaryotic small subunit ribosomal RNA
Source: RNAcentral
CCCUUAGAUGUUCUGGGCUGCACGCGCGCUACACUGACAUACUCAGCAAGUUUCCUUGCCUGAAAGGGUUGGGUAAUCUUGUUAGUGUAUGUCGUGAUGGGGAUAGAAUAUUGUAAUUAUUGCUCUUUAACGAGGAAUUCCUAGUAAGCGCAAGUCAUCAGCCUGCGUUGAUUACGUCCCUGCCCUUUGUACACACCGCCCGUCGCUCCUACCGAUUGGGUGAUCCGGUGAAUGAUUCGGACUCUGGCUAUGCUAGCUACUAGCUACGUCAGGGAAAGUUUUGUGAACCUUAUCACUUGGAGGAAGGAGAAGUCGUAACA